RNAcentral lists this ribosomal RNA (488 nucleotides) under uncultured Pseudomonas sp. Its description in RNAcentral is "bacterial SSU rRNA". It matches the Rfam family "Bacterial small subunit ribosomal RNA", at positions 898 to 1382 of the family's 1533-position model. Lineage: Bacteria; Pseudomonadati; Pseudomonadota; Gammaproteobacteria; Pseudomonadales; Pseudomonadaceae. The record is from RNAcentral.
AACUUAAAUGAAUUGACGGGGCCCGCACAAGCGGUGGAGUAUGUGGUUUAAUUCGAUGCAACGCGAAGAACCUUACCUGGUCUUGGCAUCCCGGAGACCCUUAGGAAACUAGGGGUGCUUCCAUCUGGAAGAAUCUGGAGACAGGUGCUGCAUGGCUGUCGUCAGCUCGUGUCGUGAGAUGUUGGGUUAAGUCCCGCAACGAGCGCAACCCUUGCCUUUAGUUGCCAGCAGUUCGGCUGGGCACUCUAAAGGGACUGCCGGUGUUAAACCGGAGGAAGUGGGGGGUGACGUCAAGUCAUCAUGGCCCUUACGGCCUGGGCUACACACGUGCUACAAUGGUCGGUACAAAGGGUUGCCAAGCCGCGAGGUGGAGCUAAUCCCAUAAAACCGAUCGUAGUCCGGAUCGCAGUCUGCAACUCGACUGCGUGAAGUCGGAAUCGCUAGUAAUCGUGAAUCAGAAUGUCACGGUGAAUACGUUCCCGGGCCUU